RNAcentral lists this transfer RNA (76 nucleotides) under Burkholderiaceae bacterium. Its description in RNAcentral is "tRNA-Met". It matches the Rfam family "tRNA". Rfam says of the family: Transfer RNA (tRNA) molecules are approximately 80 nucleotides in length. Lineage: Bacteria; Pseudomonadati; Pseudomonadota; Betaproteobacteria; Burkholderiales; Burkholderiaceae. The record is from RNAcentral.
CGCGGGAUGGAGCAGUGGUCAGCUCGUGUGGCUCAUAACCACGAGGUCGAGGGUUCGAAUCCCUCUCCCGCUACCA